RNAcentral lists this unclassified non-coding RNA (947 nucleotides) under Hevea brasiliensis (rubber tree). Lineage: Eukaryota; Viridiplantae; Streptophyta; Magnoliopsida; Malpighiales; Euphorbiaceae. The record is from RNAcentral.
AAAUGGCGGCCUAGGGACCGAAUGAAGACAGGAUGCGUUGCCCUUGUUUUGUGUUUAAACAUCAGUGUUGAUCCACCUGAUGUAAUAAAGAUAUCUCCUUGUGCUCGAAUGGAGUGUUGGGUUGAUCCAUUUUCGAUGGCACCUCAAAAAGCACUUGAGACAAUUGGGAGAACUUUGAACCAACAAUAUGAGAGGUGGCAACCUAGGGCUAAAUAUAAGAUUUCCUUGGAUCCUACUGUUGAUGAAAUCAAGAAGCUUUGCACAACUUGUCGAAAGUAUGCUAAGUCGGAACGAGUUCUAUUCCAUUAUAAUGGACAUGGUGUUCCUAAACCUACAGCCAAUGGUGAAAUUUGGCUAUUUAAUAAGAGUUAUACGCAGUAUAUUCCUUUGCCAAUCAGUGACCUGGAUUCCUGGUUGAAGACACCAUCGAUCUAUGUGUUUGACUGCUCUGCUGCUGGGAUGAUUGUUAAUGCCUUCAUAGAGCUUCAGGACUGGACUGCUUCUGGUUCUUCUGCAACUUCUACAAGGGAUUGUAUUCUGCUUGCUGCUUGUGAAGCUCACGAGACUCUUCCACAGAGUUCUGAGUUUCCAGCCGAUGUGUUCACUUCCUGCCUCACAACACCCAUCAAAAUGGCGUUGAGAUGGUUUUGCACUCGUUCGUUGCUUCAUGAGUCGCUUGAUUACUCUCUGAUUGAUAGAAUUCCUGGACGGCAAACUGAUAGGAAGACACUUCUUGGCGAACUGAAUUGGAUUUUUACUGCAGUUACUGAUACAAUUGCCUGGAAUGUUCUACCACAUGAUCUAUUUCAGAGACUGUUCAGGCAAGAUCUGCUAGUCGCUAGUUUGUUCAGAAACUUCUUACUUGCUGAAAGAAUCAUGCGCUCUGCAAAUUGUUCACCAAUUUCAUACCCGAUGCUACCACCUACUCAUCAGCAUCAUAUGUGGGA